This 209-nucleotide ribosomal RNA is filed under the name uncultured bacterium. Its description in RNAcentral is "partial 16S ribosomal RNA". It matches the Rfam family "Bacterial small subunit ribosomal RNA", at positions 1292 to 1500 of the family's 1533-position model. The record is from RNAcentral.
UUCGGAUUGUAGUCUGCAACCCGACUACAUGAAGCUGGAAUCGCUAGUAAUCGCGGAUCAGAAUGCCGCGGUGAAUACGUUCCCGGGUCUUGUACACACCGCCCGUCACACCAUGGGAGUCGGAAAUGCCCGAAGUCUGUGACCCAACCGGAAGGAGGGAGCAGCCGAAGGCAGGUCGGAUGACUGGGGUGAAGUCGUAACAAGGUACC